Molecule: ribosomal RNA, 460 nt
Filed under: uncultured bacterium
Lineage: Bacteria
Description: partial 16S ribosomal RNA
Rfam family: Bacterial small subunit ribosomal RNA
Source: RNAcentral
CCUACGGGGCGCAGCAGUGAGGAAUAUUGGUCAAUGUGCUCGAGCCUGAACCAGCCAAGUAUCGUGAAGGAUGACUGCCCUACGGGUUGUAAACUUCUUUUAUAAAGGAAUAAAGUGAGGCACGUGUGCCUUUUUGUAUGUACUUUAUGAAUAAGGAUCGGCUAACUCCUUGCCAGCAGCCGCGGUAAUACGGAGGAUCCGAGUGUUAUCCGGAUUUAUUGGGUUUAAAGGGAGCGUAGAUGGGUUGUUAAGUCAGUUGUGAAAGUUUGCGGCUCAACCGUAAAAUUGCAAUUGAUACUGGCAGCCUUGAGUACAGUUGAGGUAGGCGGAAUUCGUGGUGUAGCGGUGAAAUGCUUAGAUAUCACGAAGAACUCCGAUUGCGAAGGCAGCUUACUAAACUGCCACUGACAUUGAUGCUCGAAAGUGUGGGUAUCAAACAGGAUUAGAUACCCGAGUAGUC